UAAUUUUUCUGGUGCAGAUCCUUAUCUAGUUAUGAUAGACUUACACCUGACUAUUAAAAAUCACUUGUUAACAUAAGCCCAACUACAACAUAAAUUAAUAAUAAAUUUUCUAGAUCAAAAU
Molecule: non-coding RNA, 121 nt
Organism: Populus trichocarpa (black cottonwood)
Lineage: Eukaryota; Viridiplantae; Streptophyta; Magnoliopsida; Malpighiales; Salicaceae
Source: Rfam